UGCCAGAUCUUGACAUACGAACAACAAUCCAGAUGCUUGAUGGAGACAAACCCCUGUCUGAGGAGCAGAAGAAUGAAGUUAACACUCUUGCCAUUUCCUGGGACUUGCCACCUGUUAACACAGAAAAUCAUAAAUGGCUGCUCCAACAGUUACUCCAUCAUGAAGUGAUUGGACGAACCAUUAGGCAAACAAAGCAAAUUAGGAAGGGACUGAAGGACACCAGACUGUAGAAUCUGCUCCAAGACUGGCCUGAAACUGCUCUGAUCAUCUUCCCCGGCAUGCUGAAAGCAUUCUCACUGUCCAGGUACAGCCCAGCCUUAACUGGGAUCAGUGUCAAUGUACACAAGUCCAUGUUUAAUUGAAGCAAAUGUCUGUAACUUCAGUAUUUGGUAGGUUUGUAAAGAA
Molecule: long non-coding RNA, 405 nt
Organism: Melanotaenia boesemani (Boeseman's rainbowfish)
Lineage: Eukaryota; Metazoa; Chordata; Actinopteri; Atheriniformes; Melanotaeniidae
Exons: 3
Source: RefSeq, a predicted model, not a curated record